This 403-nucleotide ribosomal RNA is filed under the name Fusobacteriota bacterium. RNAcentral's name for it is "Fusobacteria bacterium partial 16S ribosomal RNA". It matches the Rfam family "Bacterial small subunit ribosomal RNA", at positions 355 to 776 of the family's 1533-position model. Lineage: Bacteria; Fusobacteriati; Fusobacteriota. The record is from RNAcentral.
UGGGGAAUAUUGCACAAUGGAGGGAACUCUGAUGCAGCGACACCGCGUGAACGAAGAAGGCUUUCGAGUCGUAAAGUUCUUUUAUAUGGGAAGAUAAUGACGGUACCAUAAGAAAAAGCCCCGGCUAACUACGUGCCAGCAGCCGCGGUAAUACGUAGGGGGCUAGCGUUGUCCGGAAUCACUGGGCGUAAAGGGUUCGCAGGCGGAAAUGCAAGUCAGGUGUAAAAGGCAGUAGCUUAACUACUGUAAGCAUUUGAAACUGCAUAUCUUGAGAAGAGUAGAGGUAAGUGGAAUUUUUAGUGUAGCGGUGAAAUGCGUAGAUAUUAAAAAGAAUACCGGUGGCGAAGGCGACUUACUGGGCUCAUUCUGACGCUGAGGAACGAAAGCGUGGGUAGCAAACAGG